UUCGCUACAGCACAUACAAAUCCACUUCAUCCUGUGCACGGGUAUGACGCUGAGGAUGAUGACUUUGACGCAGACCUGUUGAUGCCUGAGUAAACAAGGCUGCUUCGCAGAGCGUGGCAUACCAAAACAGGAUGUUUUCCAAUGUCUUUCACCUGAGUGACAGGCAAGAACAACUCCAGUGAAUGGCCUGCAAUUCACCUCUAAAGUACAGCAGCCUCCAUGCGAUGCACCACAUCA
Long non-coding RNA from Ornithodoros turicata, 237 nucleotides. RefSeq lists it as uncharacterized. The record is from RefSeq and is a predicted model, not a curated record. NCBI's taxonomy places the organism in Eukaryota, Metazoa, Arthropoda, Arachnida, Ixodida, Argasidae. The transcript is spliced from 3 exons.